UGGGGAAUAUUGGACAAUGGGCGCAAGCCUGAUCCAGCCAUGCCGCGUGAGUGAUGAAGGCCUUAGGGUUGUAAAGCUCUUUUAUCCGGGACGAUAAUGACGGUACCGGAGGAAUAAGCCCCGGCUAACUUCGUGCCAGCAGCCGCGGUAAUACGAAGGGGGCUAGCGUUGCUCGGAAUCACUGGGCGUAAAGGGCGCGUAGGCGGCGUUUUAAGUCGGGGGUGAAAGCCUGUGGCUCAACCACAGAAUGGCCUUCGAUACUGGGACGCUUGAGUAUGGUAGAGGUUGGUGGAACUGCGAGUGUAGAGGUGAAAUUCGUAGAUAUUCGCAAGAACACCGGUGGCGAAGGCGGCCAACUGGACCAUUACUGACGCUGAGGCGCGAAAGCGUGGGGAGCAAACAGGAUUAGAUACCCUGGUAGUCCACGCCGUAAACGAUGAACGCCAGCUGUUGGGGUGCUCGCACCGCAGUAGCGCAGCUAACGCUUUGAGCAUUCCGCCG
Molecule: ribosomal RNA, 501 nt
Filed under: uncultured Pseudomonadota bacterium
Lineage: Bacteria; Pseudomonadati; Pseudomonadota
Description: bacterial SSU rRNA
Rfam family: Bacterial small subunit ribosomal RNA
Source: RNAcentral